This 2914-nucleotide ribosomal RNA is filed under the name sediment metagenome. RNAcentral's name for it is "bacterial LSU rRNA". It matches the Rfam family "Bacterial large subunit ribosomal RNA". The record is from RNAcentral.
AGAGCACACGGAGGAUGCCUAGGCGCUAGGAGCCGAAGAAGGACGUGGCGAACGACGAAAUGCCUCGGGGAGCCGUAAGCAGGCUUUGAUCCGGGGAUGUCCGAAUGGGGGAACCCAGCAGUCGUAAUGGACUGUUACCCUGCAGUGAAUACAUAGCUGCAGUGGAGGCAUACCCAGGGAACUGAAACAUCUAAGUACCUGGAGGAAAAGAAAACAAUAGUGAUUCCGUCAGUAGCGGCGAGCGAACGCGGAUUAGCCCAAACCAAGGUGCUUGCACCUUGGGGUUGCGGGACACCAAGAUAUCGAAGUGUUCAUUAGGUGAAGAGGUCUGGAAAGGCCCAUCAGAGAAGGUAACAAUCCUGUAACCAAAAGUGAGCAACAGAUUAGGUGUAUCCCAAGUAGUGCGGGGCACGUGAAACCCCGUAUGAAUCCGGCAGGACCAUCUGCCAAGGCUAAAUACUCCCUAGCGACCGAUAGUGAAGCAGUACCGUGAGGGAAAGGUGAAAAGCACCGCGGGAGCGGAGUGAAAAAGAACCUGAAACCGUGUGCUUACAAAAAGUCAGAGCACGUUCUAUGUGUGAUGGCGUGCCUUUUGUAGAAUGAACCGGCGAGUUACGUUCACGAGCAAGGUUAAGUUGAAGAGACGGAGCCGUAGCGAAAGCGAGUCUGAAUAGGGCGAAUAAGUUCGUGGGCGUAGACCCGAAACCGUGUGAUCUACCCCUGUCCAGGGUGAAGGUGAGGUAAUACUCACUGGAGGCCCGAACCCACGCAUGUUGAAAAAUGCGGGGAUGAGGUGGGGGUAGCGGAGAAAUUCCAAUCGAACUCGGAGAUAGCUGGUUCUCCCCGAAAUAGCUUUAGGGCUAGCCUCGAGAAUAAGUUGUGGAGGUAGAGCACUGAUUGGGUGCGGGGCCCGCCAAGGGUUACCAAGUCCAGUCAAACUCCGAAUGCCAUAAACUCGAAUCUCGGGAGUCAGACAGUGAGUGCUAAGAUCCAUUGUCGAGAGGGAAACAGCCCAGACCAUCAGCUAAGGUCCCCAAGUGUGUGUUAAGUGGGAAAGGAUGUGGAGUUGCAAAGACAACCAGGAUGUUGGCUUAGAAGCAGCCACCAUUGAAAGAGUGCGUAAUAGCUCACUGGUCGAGUGACUCUGCGCCGAAAAUGUAACGGGGCUAAACACGCCACCGAAGCUAUGGACUCAACAUGUAGAAUGUUGUUUGGUAGGGGAGCGUUGUAUAUGCUGCGAAGGUGUACCGUAAGGAGCGCUGGAGAGUAUACAAGUGAGAAUGCCGGUAUAAGUAACGAAAAGACAAGUGAGAAUCUUGUCCGCCGAAAGCCUAAGGGUUCCUGAGGAAGGCUCGUCCUCUCAGGGUAAGUCGGGACCUAACGCGAGGCCGAAAGGCGUAGUGGAUGGACAACUGGUUGAAAUUCCAGUACCACCGUGAACCGUUAUGAGCAAUGGGGUGACGCAGAAGGGGAAAGAUGCAGACGGAUGGAAGUGUCUGUGCAAGCAGUGAGGCUAAAGUGUAGGCAAAUCCGCACUUUGUUAGGCUAGGCUGUGAUGCGGAGGGAAAAUUACAGUACCGAAGAUCAUGUACUCAAGCUGCCAAGAAAAGCCUCUAGCCAGGGAGAAGGUGCCCGUACCGCAAACCGACACAGGUGGGCGAGAAGAGUAUUCUAAGGCGCGCGGAACAACUCUCGUUAAGGAACUCGGCAAAAUGACCCCGUAACUUCGGGAGAAGGGGUGCCUCGGUAGGGUGAAUAGCCCGAGGGGGCCGCAGUGAAAAGGCCCAAGCGACUGUUUAGCAAAAACACAGGUCUGUGCGAAGCCGUAAGGCGAAGUAUACGGGCUGACGCCUGCCCGGUGCUGGAAGGUUAAGAGGAGUGGUAAGUCCGCAAGGGCGAAGCUAUGAAUUGAAGCCCCAGUAAACGGCGGCCGUAACUAUAACGGUCCUAAGGUAGCGAAAUUCCUUGUCAGGUAAAUUCUGACCCGCACGAAUGGCGUAACGACUUGGGCGCUGUCUCAACGAGAGAUCCGGUGAAAUUUUAAUACCUGUGAAGAUGCAGGUUACCCGCGACAAGACGGAAAGACCCCAUGGAGCUUUACUGUAACUUAAUAUUGAAUUUGGGUAGGAUCUGUACAGGAUAGGUGGGAACCUUUGAGACAUGAGCGCCAGCUUGUGUGGAGGUGACGUUGGGAUACCACCCUGAUCCUACCUAGGUUCUAACCUAUGCCCCUGAAUCGGGGCAAGGGACCGUGUUAGGUGGACAGUUUGACUGGGGCGGUCGCCUCCUAAAGUGUAACGGAGGCGCCCCAAGGUUCCCUCAGAAUGGUUGGAAAUCAUUCGAAGAGUGCAAAGGCAUAAGGGAGCUUGACUGCGAGACCAACAAGUCGAGCAGGGACGAAAGUCGGGCUUAGUGAUCCGGUGGUUCCGAAUGGAAGGGCCAUCGCUCAACGGAUAAAAGCUACCCUGGGGAUAACAGGCUUAUCUCCCCCAAGAGUCCACAUCGACGGGGAGGUUUGGCACCUCGAUGUCGGCUCAUCGCAUCCUGGGGCUGAAGUAGGUCCCAAGGGUUGGGCUGUUCGCCCAUUAAAGCGGUACGCGAGCUGGGUUCAGAACGUCGUGAGACAGUUCGGUCCCUAUCUGUCGUGGGCGCAGGAAAUUUGAGAGGAGCUGUCCUUAGUACGAGAGGACCGGGAUGGACGUUCCGCUGGUGUACCAGUUGUUCCGCCAGGAGCAUCGCUGGGUAGCCAAGAACGGACGGGAUAAGCGCUGAAAGCAUCUAAGCGUGAAGCCCCCCUCAAGAUGAGAUUUCCCAGUAUGUAAGACCCCUUGAAGACCACGAGGUUGAUAGGUUUGAGGUGGAAGCGCAGCAAUGUGUGGAGCUGACAAAUACUAAUCGGUCGAGGGCUUACCCC